This 467-nucleotide ribosomal RNA is filed under the name uncultured bacterium. Its description in RNAcentral is "partial 16S ribosomal RNA". It matches the Rfam family "Bacterial small subunit ribosomal RNA", at positions 28 to 507 of the family's 1533-position model. The record is from RNAcentral.
GAUGAACGCUGACAGAAUGCUUAACACAUGCAAGUCCACUUGAAUUUGGGUUUUUAACUUAGGUUUGGGUGGCGGACGGGUGAGUAACGCGUAAAGAACUUGCCUCACAGCUAGGGACAACAUUUGGAAACGAAUGCUAAUACCUAAUAUUAUGAUAAUAGGGCAUCCUAUAAUUAUGAAAGCUAUAAGCGCUGUGAGAGAGCUUUGCGUCCCAUUAGCUAGUUGGAGAGGUAACGGCUCACCAAGGCGAUGAUGGGUAGCCGGCCUGAGAGGGUGAUCGGCCACAAGGGGACUGAGACACGGCCCUUACUCCUACGGGAGGCAGCAGUGGGGAAUAUUGGACAAUGGACCAAGAGUCUGAUCCAGCAAUUCUGUGUGCACGAUGAAGUUUUUCGGAAUGUAAAGUGCUCUCAGUUGGGAAGAAAGAAAUGACGGUACCAACAGAAGAAGUGACGGCUAAAUACGUG